This is a long non-coding RNA of Thunnus maccoyii (southern bluefin tuna), 1109 nucleotides long. RefSeq lists it as uncharacterized. NCBI's taxonomy places the organism in Eukaryota, Metazoa, Chordata, Actinopteri, Scombriformes, Scombridae. The record is from RefSeq and is a predicted model, not a curated record. The transcript has 3 exons.
AUCAGGCCCUUCGUCUAUGAACAAACAGACAGACACAUUAGUGGAGAUAUUUGGAGGCGUUGAAGGUCAUCGAGAUGAAGUCCUGAGUGCUGAUUUUGAUCUCUUGGGUGAAUAAAUGAUGUCAUGUGUGAUGGACCACUCCUUAAAACUUUGGCGGAUUAAUUCAGAGAGAAUGCAGAAAGCCGUUGGCGGAUCUUACGAGUUCAACCCCUCCAAGACCAACAGAUUGCAGGAAGUUUGCUGGCAACUGGACCAUCUUACUGUUAGAACAGAUGGAAAGAAAAUUCAUAUUAUCAACCUAAACAGAGACUUUAAAAAGCUGAAACACCACCCUCAAGGUCAGAAUAGUUCAUUCUCCUUCUCUGGUGAGAUAUGUGUUAAGUUAGCGUUAAGGAUACAUACAGUAUAAUAAUAUUUUGUAGGAUUUUGUGUGUUAUUUGAAAAGGGCCAGUUUGUCAUAUUCUUGUUGGUUCUGUGUCAAUUCACCCUGAAUUCAAGAAAUGAUGAAGAGGGAUGUCUAUGUUCCUAUUAUAUGAACCGCAGUUUUGAUUCACUUUAACCAAGUUGAAAGAAAUAUUGAUGUUACGUGUGUGUGUCACAGGCCAGAGAUUCAAAAAGUGUGUAUUUGUGUGUUUGUGCGAGGAGAUAAAAGAUAGAAUGUGAAAAAGAAAAAGUGCAAAUCAGAGCUUUUUAAAUGAUGAAGGUUAACAAGCUGCAUGUUUUUAGUUGUUCUGUUAAUUCACUAUAGUACAGUACAGAGUAUUAACUCUUGAAACACAAAGCAGUUCUUUCUGUGUGUGUGUGUGUGUUAUUCUACAGGGUUUUCUAUGGGGUUGUUCUGUAUUAUUUUUAUCAAAUCAGACUCUCACUAACUAGUCUCACGUGCUUUUACCUACAAACUUCAUUCAAAUGUAAGAAUGUGCAGCAUCUUUAUGAAAUGUGCACAUCUAUUCAAUUUAGCUGUUUUUAGUAAUUGAAAUAUCAAAGUAUCUUUCUUUUUUCUGUAUGAUGUCGCUCCCUCGCACAGGUAUACGGCUAAUUUGACUUCUCCACAGGAAAGCGUGUGAUCACCAGGGCGGCGAUGUGGGUCAGUGGUCUGUUGUGUCACA